AUCACUUCUUGGCCUUUUGGCUAAGAUCAAAUGUAGUAUCUGUUCUUAUCAGUUUAAUAUCUGAUACGUCCUCUAUCCAAGGACAAUAUAUUAAAUGGAUUUUUGGAGCAGGGAGAUGGAAUAGUAGCUUGCUCCAUCCACUCCACGCAUCGACCUGGUAUUGCAGUACUUCCAGUAACGGUGCGCGCGCA
RNAcentral lists this small nuclear RNA (191 nucleotides) under Marmota marmota marmota (Alpine marmot). RNAcentral describes it as "U2 spliceosomal RNA (ENSMMMG00000004873.1)". It matches the Rfam family "U2 spliceosomal RNA". From Rfam's summary of the family: U2 is a small nuclear RNA (snRNA) component of the spliceosome (involved in pre-mRNA splicing). Complementary binding between U2 snRNA (in an area lying towards the 5' end but 3' to hairpin I) and the branchpoint sequence (BPS) of the intron results the bulging out of an unpaired adenosine, on the BPS, which initiates a nucleophilic attack at the intronic 5' splice site, thus starting the first of two transesterification reactions that mediate splicing. The record is from Rfam by way of RNAcentral. Lineage: Eukaryota; Metazoa; Chordata; Mammalia; Rodentia; Sciuridae.